Camellia sinensis is the source of this 419-nucleotide non-coding RNA. Lineage: Eukaryota; Viridiplantae; Streptophyta; Magnoliopsida; Ericales; Theaceae. The record is from RefSeq and is a predicted model, not a curated record.
UCUCUCUGGUUGAGAGUUGAGAUAAUGUUUUAUAUUAACUAAAUUUUAUUGGUGACACCUAUUAUUAAUUGAUCACAAGGAAAUUAUUGACCCUACGCUGGUAUUUAGCUGAUUAGUUUUUCAAUGAAUUGUCCAUUUCUGUUCAUUAGCUUUCACUAUGAAGUUAAAGCACAUGCUUGGUGUUUCUGAAUGUCACACUAAUAUGUUGAUAAUUGAUGCAGAUUGACUUGUCUUCCCACAUUGUUAGGGUUUAAUUGACUUUGAAGUCGUGUUGGUUAUUUUAUUCCUCUGCCAAGAUUUGAUAGAACGUUGAUAUCGGAGGACAACCUUAGCUUUGUCUCAGGAUGUGUUGGACGAGGCUACCAAAAGCAAGUCUGCAGGAAAGGCAUAGUACCAGACUAUGAUCUCCGACACCGAGU